RNAcentral lists this small RNA (161 nucleotides) under Sinorhizobium terangae. RNAcentral's name for it is "Rhizobiales sRNA Atu_C9". It matches the Rfam family "Rhizobiales sRNA Atu_C9", at positions 1 to 160 of the family's 192-position model. Lineage: Bacteria; Pseudomonadati; Pseudomonadota; Alphaproteobacteria; Hyphomicrobiales; Rhizobiaceae. The record is from Rfam by way of RNAcentral.
GGUCAACGCAGGGAGGAUCAUCAUAUGGGACUUACACAUUCGUUGAAUGUCCUCAUGAUCAGUGCAGCGUUCGCAUUCGUGGCCGUCAUGCUUUUUGUCUGAGCAGGGCCGCUGAAAAGUCCAAACCGAGACAAGGACUUUAAUUUCCGGAAAAUCCAUUU